GGCGAUUUGGCGCGCCAAAAAAGCGCAGAGACGCUGCCGCCAUAAAACAAGAAGACCAAGAGAGGAGAGAGGGCAAAAGACGAACCCUGGCCCGAAAUAAAUGUAUGCACGACCGCCAAAGAAAGAAAAAGAGAGAGAAUAAUGGGAAGGCGCACACGCCUGUCGGUUCACACGCAACGUCCAAAGAGGGAGAAAAAGUCAACGCGGAUCUUUUCGUGUUUUUUCUCCCUACAAAAAAAGGAGCCGAAAGGGUAGGCGCGACGUGUCGCAAAAAAAAUCUGCGCAGGGGAGGGGCAUGCGAGAGGGCACACGCCGGGUCAGGGUGCGAGAACGGCCGCGGGUGCCAAGGCCGCGCAAGCGCCGCCAAAGGUGGCAAGGUCGCUGGGCGCCACGGGCACACCAAAGCGCACGGCCAACAAUGCCAGACGGGCCUUGUCCAACAACGCAGGUCCCGCGCGCUCGUGCUGUCGGCCAUAGGCAUCGGCUCGCGCGACGAGAUCGACGACCGCUUCCAUGUCUUCAUCCAUCUGUGUGGGCUCCUUGGGCCGCGUGUCUUGGAUCUCUUGGUAGGCGCGUGCAACGGCUUCUUCUGGCGUCAAGGUGUCCGCGUCACCUUGCGUGGCAUCGGCCACAGCGUCGCAUGCCCUCUUCCAUGCCUCGCGCUCGUCCUCGCUCAUGUCUGGCUGUCCGAACGAGGGCGGCCAGCGAACCUCGACGGACGGCGGCUCCCAUUUGCCAGAGAGCCGCUGCGCGGCGUACCCUAUGGCCGCGGGCGCCAGCGACGCACACAAGAGAUCGGGGCGGGCGCGCUCGGCCGCGUUGGGUUGUACGCCCCAAAAGGUCGCUACGUCGUAGAGACGGUCGCCCCCCACGAGACGCCCGACGCCGUCGCGCUCUGCCGUCUCUGCGCCGCAGGUGUGUUGCCACAAGUCCAACGCCAAGGGUUGGGCGAGUUCAAUGGGCAGCGCCGAGAGAUCAAAGCGCGCUUGAGGAGCGCCGAGGAUGGCGCUCUGCGCAAUGGCGGCGAGCGAUGGUACGCCAAGGACGGGUCGGGGCAGCGCAAACAGGUUUUCGUCCUCUUCCUCCUCGAAUGGCCACACCCUAGCGGGGCCGCCGCCUUGCCUGGCUUGUUUGGGCCGUUUCUGUUGUUGUUGUGCUUGUUCAUCGUAGGCAGCCGCGACCGUUUCACUGGGCGACGUACCGGGUGUGCUCUCCAGACCGGCAGCGCCAUGGGCGCGCGUCGCCAUCAAGAGAGGAAGGGCGCGAGCGACCGUCUCGGCGCCUCUAUGCUGCGCCAGGACGAGGGCCAGGGUGCACGCAUCGAGCCACACGACACGCACAUCUGCAGGAGCGCCAAAGUCGACCAGGUAUCGGUACGAGAGCGGCGACACGGCGUUCAAGAGCGCCGGCGGUAGGUCGGCCCACGAGGGGACGAGCACCAUGGCGUCCUCUAACGCAGUGAUGGCAUCGUCCUUGGGCGUGUCGUAGACCAAAGUCGAGAGCAGGUCGGGCAGUGCCGCUGCGUAGGGGAGCGCCACGAGAGGGAGCGCGCCCACAUCAACCCCUGUCGCCUCGUCGAGAUCGCGCGAGGCCACCAGUUGGGCGUUGGCGCCGUCCUGCGACACCGCCGCCAGAUGCGCAGCGAUGUCAGCCGGAGCCGAUUCGACGAGCAACGCAUAGAUCGUGUUGUUCGCGCUGGGCGUGCAGUGGGGAUCGGCUUCGCGAGGCCAGUCGCCCAGUGCGCGGCGUAUCGACGCCGAUGCGGCAACGGGCGCCGAGACCAUGCGCGCAGCCCACUGGCGCGUGCGCCGCCGGUACAAGGCGCCGAUGGCAGAGACGAGACGCGCGAGCCCGACUCCGGUUUCGGUCGCCUGUCCAAUGAGACUGUAGGCGGCGAGGCGGGCCACGGGGGUGCCCACUAGGCUCUCGUAAAUAUCGACGACGCUCUCCACAUCAGGCGGCCAUGCGUUUUCCAGUGUUUCACGCUGCAAGACGAGUGCGCGCUUGACGGCCGUGGACGCCCACGGAUCGUCAUCGAGCGCGCGCCACAUCGACGCAUAAGCGCCCAGAAGAGCGCACGCAAUGGAGCGGCCGUUCCGUUGUUCGAAUGCGAUUUCAUUGACAAGACUGCGCUCAUUGAGGCGGGAUAGGAGCACGCGCAAGGCCGAAUCCUGUUCGCCGCCUUGACCAGAGACCUCACAGGCAGACGUCAGUACCGGCACAUAGUCGGCGGCACGAGGCACCAAGACCCUGUUUGGCCACGAGCGCACGUCGAGUUCUGGCGGAAAGGCAUCGACCGGCACGAGCACGACCAUAUCGGUGGUUGUCGCCGUCGCCAGGCCGGUGGAACCGCUGCCGCCGCUGGAGUACGCGGUCGACUCCAUGCCGGCUGAGACCUCUUUUUUUCCGCGCUGCUUUUUGUUUGGCGUGUCUCUUCUUUUUCCUUCCCGACUUUUUUUGUGCACGGGGGCGUCACAAGAAUCUUUUGUGGGACGCCGUGAUUUUUUUUGCCUCUACUCGCCUCGCUUUCACUGGCUGGCCACACCUACCUACGGGCCAUGGCGCGCGUCGCCCGCGCACUGGGACUUUGCCACCCACAAAAAGGGCAAGAGGGAGAAACGGCCGGAGCAGGCAAAAAAGGCAACGCCAGAAAAAAGGCCACCCGGAUGGGAGAUUCUAUUUGCCCGUGCACCGACCCCUCGCCCAGUCCGGGCUUUUUUCUCUUUUUUUUUCCAGAGACGCAAGCACUUUAUAAACCUCUCUUCUUUUUUUCUUUCAUUUUUUUCUUUCCGUGUGUACACGGGUCUUUUCGCCGCC
This 2817-nucleotide long non-coding RNA is filed under the name Pandoravirus neocaledonia. Its description in RNAcentral is "hypothetical ncRNA". The record is from RNAcentral.